AAAAAAGAUAAUGGAAAUACAAGGUUCUAAGAAGAUAACAAAGAAAAAUAAAGUAAAAUAAUGUCGGAUGGCGAACAAGUGACUCACACAACAGACAAGUUUGAAAUCCUUCGGAGAUUUCGUGUAUUUUAAAUUUAAACGAAAAUGGGAAGCUCGUCAUUUGAAGAAUUUUCGUUAGAUUUGAUUUUUACUAGAAUUAUUGCUCCACAAUUAAUCGAGUAUGACAGCAAGUAGGUAUGAUUGAAGAAUUCUGUUGAGGUUGGUAAUUUUAUUUAUUUACGGUUGGUAUCAUUGCUUUGAUUUGUGUUGUCGCAAAUGGAUGACAGUUUUCUUUGUACAGGCUGUUCUACAUAAUUCAAUUUUUCAAACAUUUUUUUUAAUCCUUUAUUUUUCAUUUAGAACCUCGAAGAGUAUUUAUAACUCCAAACACCGGAGAGGGAGGAAUUCAUUUUCUUUAAACCGCGUUUAUUAUUGUUUAAUAAAAUGGAUCCAAAUUGUGUUGAGGAAUUGGGCACUUCCAUAAUUGAGACGAGUGAAUAUGAAUUGGACGAGAAAGCAGCUACUGCUGAAAUGAUACAGUUCUUUGCUAAUGUACAUACAUAUAAUGUAUGAUAAAGAAAUGUUGAGGAUUCUCGUUAUUUAUUGAAUAAGAAGGAUGCCUCGAUAAAGAAGAUGACCUCAGCCUUUACAUAAAUCCGAACAAAAAGGAAGUAAAAAGGAUAUUUUCAAGCGAUCAUCCAACGCAACUUGAGAUAGAGUACAUUAUCAAGGGAUGAAACCGUAUUAUAAGUUAUAUGCAACAAGUGUAUGUAUUUUUUAUGUAUUUCUGGAGAUAAUGCAGUGAAGAAAGGAUUUUUAUCCAGUUUUGCUUAUUGUCAAGUAUUUAAUUAUCAAGUGCAUCAGAUAGGGAAGCACUUUUUUACAAUUUGUCAAGUCCCAUGGAUUUUGGCUUUAAUAUUAGGUAUUUUUUGGUGGGUAUAUUGUAGGAUAAAUUUCCUUUUUAUUUUCUUCACUUACUUUUAACAGUUUUUCCCAUUAACUUACAUACAGUAUGUCCCCGGAUCGAGUUACAAAGAG
RNAcentral lists this long non-coding RNA (1077 nucleotides) under Onthophagus taurus. RNAcentral's name for it is "uncharacterized LOC111420995, transcript variant X1". The record is from RNAcentral. Lineage: Eukaryota; Metazoa; Arthropoda; Insecta; Coleoptera; Scarabaeidae.